This 253-nucleotide ribosomal RNA is filed under the name uncultured bacterium. RNAcentral's name for it is "partial 16S ribosomal RNA". It matches the Rfam family "Bacterial small subunit ribosomal RNA", at positions 524 to 776 of the family's 1533-position model. The record is from RNAcentral.
UACGGAGGGUGCGAGCGUUGUCCGGAAUCAUUGGGCGGAAAGGGCGCGUAGGUGGCCCGGUCAGCGUGCGGUGAAAGCUCGGGGCUCAACCCCGAGUCGGCCGUGCGAACUGCUGGGCUUGAGCACUGUAGAGGCAGGCGGAAUUCCGGGUGUAGCGGUGGAAUGCGUAGAGAUCCGGAAGAACACCGGUGGCGAAGGCGGCCUGCUGGGCAGUGGCUGACACUGAGGCGCGACAGCGUGGGGAGCAAACAGG